Molecule: long non-coding RNA, 1592 nt
Organism: Drosophila miranda
Lineage: Eukaryota; Metazoa; Arthropoda; Insecta; Diptera; Drosophilidae
Exons: 2
Source: RefSeq, a predicted model, not a curated record
UGAGUUUAUUUCUCCGGGCAGGCCUACAUAUUGGCCAACAGAUCCAAAAAUGCAACCCGACUUGAUUGAUUUUGCUGUUAUAAGAAGAGUACCGCAGGCGCAGAUUCGAGUAGAGAUCUAUCAUCGUAUCCCUUGCCAAUCCUUCUUUACCUUUACGACCAUCCACAGUGCUCAAAACGCCCACACUUUCUAUCUUCUAGCAAAACAUAUAAAUAGGCUCAAGUAAAUUAAAUAUGUAAGUUUCCAUAUUGACGGCUGCCCAAAUAUCUACUGUAAAGAUGACAGAAAGCUCAGCUGAAGCAUUAAUGUAAUGUAAUUAAUGGCUGUAAAACACUCCAGGGUAAUUAAAUUCACAACAGCAGUCGUGUUCCCUGGCAUAUUGAAGAGCUGCUACGCGAUAAGAGAAGACUUCGGCGGGAAUGGGAAGCCCAUAGAUCACCUGCCUCGAAGGUGCGAUUAAAAAUAGCCAGCCAUUUACUGCGCAAAGUCCUAAAUGAGAGAAACCUCAAACAUACAAUAUAAAAAAACUCUCUCCAAACAAGAAAAGAUUCCCACUGUGGAAAGCUAAAGCAGGCCAUGAUGAAACAAGGCUACUAUCCUCAACAAUGGAAGAAAUCUGUCAUCACAAUGAUCCUUAAAGCCGGAAAGGACAAGUCCCAUCAUCAUAUAAACCUAUCAGUCUUCUGUCGUGUCUAUCAAAGAUAUUUGAAAAGCUACACACCCAUAGUGCAAUCACAAUGCAGCAAUAUGGAUUUCGAAAAAAAAAAAUUUCGAAUCAUUCAACUAGUAAACCGGAUUACCAGAAAUAAGAAAUGCAUUUAAAAGACGCGAGUAUAGCAACGCUGUCUCCCUGGAUGUCACCUAAACUUCAACCGAGUUUAUUAUUUAGGGCCGUACUCUAAAUUAUUAAUUGUAAUAAAUAAUUAAAUAUAUUAGAUAAGGAUUUAUCUACUUGUCUUCAGUCUCCAAGAAAGAACAUUCAAUAAAUAAAUUACCGUAAAAAUAAAAAAAAGCUAACGAGAGGUUACGUUGAGUUGCUGCAACAUUUGUACCCGGUCAGUUUUUUUCAGACUAGUUUCUCACUAUUUAAGUCAUAUUUUUACUGCACGCCGGAUAUAAAUUCCGAGUGUCCGACCGAUUGCAGAACUACACACAUGUACAUAUGUAUGUACAUACAUAUAUCAUAAAGUAAACGAAGGUAAAUAAUACGAAAUUCGCUCAAGUUCUACUUUCUGGUGAUUAUUCUCAAAGGCAUAGUUACACGUGCGUUUAAUUCAUUGUUAUAUCAUUGAUAUUGAAAAUGAUUCCCUUCAGUUUUAAAAUUUAUGAAAAUGAUGUGCGAGCUUUGUAUAUUUAAAGCAAACCAGUUUCAUGUUCUUAAAGAUCGAAAACUAAUGACACUGUUAGGAGCUUCAUUAAUAAAAUUAGUUUUAAGCUUCUAGUGGGGGCUAGUGCCACCGUAGGAAUAUUUGCUGUUUUUUUUUCAAUCGUUGUACAUGUUUUGUUUGCUAUUUUUAAAAAUCGAUUUUAUUUAAAGAAGUAUUUGAAUCCAGACAAAUCGAAUUUAUGCACUGCUCGUGAUGAUUCGGAUA